Molecule: transfer RNA, 65 nt
Filed under: Orestes guangxiensis
Lineage: Eukaryota; Metazoa; Arthropoda; Insecta; Phasmatodea; Heteropterygidae
Description: tRNA-Ser
Source: RNAcentral
AGUUAAUAAGUUUUAUAAAAACGUAUAUUUUGAAAAUAUGAAAAAGAGAUCCCCUCUAUUAACUU